Molecule: unclassified non-coding RNA, 320 nt
Filed under: uncultured Entrophospora
Lineage: Eukaryota; Fungi; Glomeromycota; Glomeromycetes; Entrophosporales; Entrophosporaceae
Description: uncultured Claroideoglomus sequence contains 5.8S rRNA gene
Rfam family: 5.8S ribosomal RNA (bases 1-53)
Source: RNAcentral
GAACGCAUAUUGCACUCUCUGGUAUUCCGGGGAGUAUGCCUGUUUGAGGGUCAGUAAAUAAUAAUUAUCAUAAUCUUUUGAUUGUGGAAUUGGGCCUUUAUUUCAUUAAUGAUUUAUGGCCUCAAAUUUACGUUACCGCUUGUUUAAUAUGAAAUUCGACCGAAUGGAGCAAUUAAACAUUCUCUCGUUAGGCGGAUUCAUCAUCAAGCAAUUACGAUUUUUUGGCCGUCGAAGCACUUUUUUUUUAGAAGUGCUUGGUCGAGAUUGUAAGAUACAUUUAACAAUGACCUCAAAUCAGGCAAGAAUACCCGCUGAACUUA